GGGUGACUGCGUACCUUUUGUAUAAUGGGUCAGCGACUUAUAUUCUGUAGCAAGGUUAACCGAAUAGGGGAGCCGUAGGGAAACCGAGUCUUAACUGGGCGAAUGAGUUGCAGGGUAUAGACCCGAAACCCGGUGAUCUAGCCAUGGGCAGGUUGAAGGUUGGGUAACACUAACUGGAGGACCGAACCGACUAAUGUUGAAAAAUUAGCGGAUGACUUGUGGCUGGGGGUGAAAGGCCAAUCAAACCGGGAGAUAGCUGGUUCUCCCCGAAAGCUAUUUAGGUAGCGCCUCGUGAACUCAUCUUCGGGGGUAGAGCACUGUUUCGGCUAGGGGGUCAUCCCGACUUACCAACCCGAUGCAAACUACGAAUACCGAAGAAUGUUAUCACGGGAGACACACGGCGGGUGCUAACGUUCGUCGUGAAGAGGGAAACAACCCAGACCGCCAGCUAAGGUCCCAAAGUCAUGGUUAAGUGGGAAACGAAGUGGGAAGGCUCAGACAGCCAGGAUGUUGGCUUAGAAGCAGCCAUCAUUUAAAGAAAGCGUAAUAGCUCACUGGUCGAGUCGGCCUGCGCGGAAGAUGUAACGGGGCUAAACCAUGCACCGAAGCUGCGGCAGCGACAUGUAAAUGUUGUUGGGUAGGGGAGCGUUCUGUAAGCCUGUGAAGGUGUGCUGCGAGGCAUGCUGGAGGUAUCAGAAGUGCGAAUGCUGACAUAAGUAACGAUAAUGCGGGUGAAAAACCCGCACGCCGGAAGACCAAGGGUUCCUGUCCAACGUUAAUCGGGGCAGGGUGAGUCGACCCCUAAGGCGAGGCAGAAAUGCGUAGUCGAUGGGAAACAGGUUAAUAUUCCUGUACUGGUGAUAAUUGCGAUGGGGGGACGGAGAAGGCUAGGCUGGCCGGGCGACGGUUGUCCCGGUUUAAGGAUGUAGGUGGGUGAAUUAGGCAAAUCCGGUUCGCUAUACACUGAGGUCUGAUGACGAGUCACUACGGUGGCGAAGUAGCUCAUGCCCCGCUUCCAGGAAAAGCCUCUAAGCUCUAGAUUAUCAUUAAUCGUACCCCAAACCGACACAGGUGGUCAGGUAGAGAAUACUCAGGCGCUUGAGAGAACUCGGGUGAAGGAACUAGGCAAAAUGGUGCCGUAACUUCGGGAGAAGGCACGCUGGCAUUAGGUGAAGUGGUUUACCCAUGGAGCUGAAGCCAGUCGCAGAUACCAGCUGGCUGCAACUGUUUAUUAAAAACACAGCACUGUGCAAACACGAAAGUGGACGUAUACGGUGUGACGCCUGCCCGGUGCUGGAAGGUUAAUUGAUGGGGUUAUCCGUAAGGAGAAGCUCUUGAUCGAAGCCCCAGUAAACGGCGGCCGUAACUAUAACGGUCCUAAGGUAGCGAAAUUCCUUGUCGGGUAAGUUCCGACCUGCACGAAUGGCGUAAUGAUGGCCAGGCUGUCUCCACCCGAGACUCAGUGAAAUUGAACUCGCUGUGAAGAUGCAGUGUACCCGCGGCAAGACGGAAAGACCCCGUGAACCUUUACUAUAGCUUGACACUGAACAUUGAGCCUUGAUGUGUAGGAUAGGUGGGAGGCUUUGAAGUGUGGACGCCAGUCUGCAUGGAGCCAACCUUGAAAUACCACCCUUUAAUGUUUGAUGUUCUAACGUAGCCCCAUAAUCUGGGGUGCGGACAGUGUCUGGUGGGUAGUUUGACUGGGGCGGUCUCCUCCCAAAGCGUAACGGAGGAGCACGAAGGUUGGCUAAGCAUGGUCGGACAUCAUGCGGUUAGUGCAAAGGCAUAAGCCAGCUUGACUGCGAGAGUGACGGCUCGAGCAGGUACGAAAGUAGGUCUUAGUGAUCCGGUGGUUCUGAAUGGAAGGGCCAUCGCUCAACGGAUAAAAGGUACUCCGGGGAUAACAGGCUGAUACCGCCCAAGAGUUCAUAUCGACGGCGGUGUUUGGCACCUCGAUGUCGGCUCAUCACAUCCUGGGGCUGAAGUAGGUCCCAAGGGUAUGGCUGUUCGCCAUUUAAAGUGGUACGCGAGCUGGGUUUAGAACGUCGUGAGACAGUUCGGUCCCUAUCUGCCGUGGGCGUUGGAAGAUUGAAAGGGGCUGCUCCUAGUACGAGAGGACCGGAGUGGACGCACCGCUGGUGUUCGGGUUGUCAUGCCAAUGGCACUGCCCGGUAGCUAAGUGCGGAAGAGAUAACCGCUGAAAGCAUCUAAGCGGGAAACUUGCCUUGAGAUGAGUCUUCCCUGACUCUUUAAGGGUCCUAAAGGAACGUUUAAGACGAAGACGUUGAUAGGCUGGGUGUGUAAGCGUAGCGAUACGUUGAGCUAACCAGUACUAAUGAACCGUGAGGCUUAACCUG
RNAcentral lists this ribosomal RNA (2357 nucleotides) under Providencia stuartii. RNAcentral describes it as "partial 23S ribosomal RNA". It matches the Rfam family "Bacterial large subunit ribosomal RNA", at positions 591 to 2925 of the family's 2925-position model. The record is from RNAcentral. Lineage: Bacteria; Pseudomonadati; Pseudomonadota; Gammaproteobacteria; Enterobacterales; Morganellaceae.